Molecule: ribosomal RNA, 253 nt
Filed under: uncultured bacterium
Lineage: Bacteria
Description: partial 16S ribosomal RNA
Rfam family: Bacterial small subunit ribosomal RNA
Source: RNAcentral
UACGUAGGGACCAAGCGUUGUUCGGAUUUACUGGGCGUAAAGGGCGCGUAGGCGGCAAUUCAAGUCAUCUGUGAAAUCUCCGGGCUUAACUCGGAACGGUCAGAUGAUACUGCUUUGCUCGAGUGCGGAAGGGGCAAUCGGAAUUCUUGGUGUAGCGGUGAAAUGCGUAGAUAUUGCUCGGAAGGCCAGAGCCGAAGGGGCCCUACUGGUACGUAACUGACACUGAGGCACGAAAGCGUGGGGAGCAAACAGG